Oppia nitens is the source of this 557-nucleotide long non-coding RNA. RefSeq lists it as uncharacterized. The transcript is spliced from 3 exons. The record is from RefSeq and is a predicted model, not a curated record. Lineage: Eukaryota; Metazoa; Arthropoda; Arachnida; Sarcoptiformes; Oppiidae.
GAUGAUUAUUGCUAAACUAAUUGUAUUGUUGCUAUUAUGUACAUUGUUGACUAUUGUUGAUGGAAAACUAAUAUGCAGUGAGGAAGGCCAACCCUGUAACAAUAAAGUACAUUGUUGUUAUAACGAUGCUAAAUGUAUCAAGAUGAAAAGAUCGGAAAAUUAUAAAUGCUAUACAAAGUCUGAUAAUACCUGUUAUAAACCAGGCGAACCCUGUACAGAUAACUAUCAUUGUUGUAACAAUUAUUGUCGUAAUUUUAAUGGUAGAUGGGAAUGCUGGAUUGAUAAAUGCCUGAAACCGGGUAGUUUGUGUAGAAAUAAUCAUGAUUGUUGCGAUAAUUAUUGUCAACAAGAUGAAUUAGAUAAACAAAUGAAAUGCUAUAUGGAAAAACCAAUAAAUAAUUGCACUAAACAAGGUAAACCAUGUAUAACUGACCAGGAUUGUUGUAUUGGUUAUUGUUUUAAUAAUAAAAUAUGCUAUACUAAUCCAGUGUUAAAAAGACUGAUACCUUUUACCAAAUAACUAAUUAAUAAUAAGAUAAACUAGUAAUCAAAUUAAU